UGCUCCAUUCUGCUUCCAAAAUAUUCUUGAGCUUGUUCUCCCUUCAUCUUCUAAUAUCACAAUCUCACAACCAAAAAGGGGGGAAAAAAUGGUCUUCUCUAGUUCGUUCAAAUUGCUGGCCAUGGCUCUUGUUUUAGCAGUCAUGUUGCUCAUGUCCUCUAAGAUAGUUGAAGCAACACCAAAUUUCAAACUCGGGCGAAGGGCUCUGGAUGGAGUACCAUAUUGGGGUCGCUACAUAGAGCCGCCCGAAAUUCCAAGAAGUGGAGGCUACCACACUCCCUCACCAUAAUUGCCAAGGUGGAUGCAAAGCAGAUCUGGAGAGGAACAUGGAGUCUGAAGAUGCCAUAUGCUACUGCCAGAUUAUUAAUAUCUACUAUUUGAAGACAUGUUUUAGACGUUUCUUUUAUGCAUGCAUGUAGUGCCAUGUUUGAUGGCUAAAUAAGAUAUGUUUAAGGUUCAAUUAUUCUGGUCUUAUAGUACAUGUAGUAUGCUUAAAUAAAAUAUUAGAAAGAUAUUAAAUGCAAUACUAUGUUUAGAGUUUGGCAUUGUAAUGACUUGAGUUGAGUAUAAUCCAGUGAACAAAUAGGAUUCACUAUUGGAAUAAA
Long non-coding RNA from Quercus lobata, 605 nucleotides. RefSeq lists it as uncharacterized. The transcript has 2 exons. The record is from RefSeq and is a predicted model, not a curated record. Lineage: Eukaryota; Viridiplantae; Streptophyta; Magnoliopsida; Fagales; Fagaceae.